RNAcentral lists this ribosomal RNA (264 nucleotides) under Triticum aestivum (bread wheat). RNAcentral describes it as "partial small subunit ribosomal RNA". Lineage: Eukaryota; Viridiplantae; Streptophyta; Magnoliopsida; Poales; Poaceae. The record is from RNAcentral.
AUGUUGAAGCCCGUGGCAUCGUCUUCCUCGUCGGCCCGGUUCUGGGCCGUCAUCGCCGCUGCACUGAUCUUGUGUGCGGCCAACGUUGAGCUUGUCCAUGGAGGUGGAAGGCCUGUGCCUAGACCUCCAGCUCCGGUAGGGCAUGUGGCUCCCAAGGAGCACUGCCCUGACUGCAGCGACAACCUGCCACCGUCGCCGCCGCCGCUUCCUCCUACUCCUCCGGCAGCUGCAGCAGGCGUACCUCCUGCUAGCGGCCAUGUGUGA